CAUGAAACACACCACAGAUGAUUGUUCUUAAAGUCAGCCAUGAAAGACAACAAGAUGAUCACACUCUUCUACAUAACCUUUAAUAUCGUACUGGUCUCAGGUUCCUCUCUCAGUCACAAAGUCCAGCAGAGUCCAGCUAACAUUUACAAGCAACAAGAAGAAACAGCCAAAAUCAGCUGUUCACACAGUAUUGACAGCUACGAUCGAAUCCUCUGGUACAAGCAGAUAAAUAACACACAGCUUCAGCUCCUGGGAUACAUGUUUGGAAACAAGGAAUACCCAGAGCCUGGAUCUGGUGUGAAAAUGGACGGGGGCGCGAAUAAAGAUAAGACGUGCACAUUAAAAAUCGAAGGACUGAACCUGAGCAGCAGUGCAGUGUAUUUCUGUGCUGCUAGUUUACACAGUGAAACACAUCAUCUGCUCCUCAGUACAAAAACCUGCAUAUGAGGUUCUUUCAUCAGCUGCCAGCCCCUUACACACGCACCCUCCUCUCAUUAGGGGGCAGUAUUUGUACUUUCUGUUACUCUGAACUGUAGCGAGAGUUGAUAUGACAGUUAUAAAGUUGGGAGAAGAGGGAGUUGACUGAUACAGGAGGUGUAACUGCCGAUGGACUGAAGAAAACACAAUGAUCCACUGCAACAAGGUUUAACCAAACAGCCGGAGAACACAAAAUGAUUGUCCUAUUUUAUUUUAUCUUCAGCGUGACUUUAAACAAUAUUUUGGUUUCAGGUUCCUCUCUCAGUCACAAAGUCCAGCAGAGUCCAGCUAACAUUUACAAGAAACCAGCAGAAACAGCCAAAAUCACCAAUUAACAAGUCGCAACCUCCCAUGAUGUCAACCAUUGGUUUGUGAACUACCUUCUUGAAACCACCAUCUUAUUUUUCCCUUUUGAAACCAGAAGCAGCCACACAGGAGCAAGACUUAGAGCCUAUACCUGCCAUUGAAUGAGAGUUGGUGUUAAUCACAUGGUUUCCAGGCCC
This is a long non-coding RNA of Hippoglossus stenolepis (Pacific halibut), 980 nucleotides long. RefSeq lists it as uncharacterized. The record is from RefSeq and is a predicted model, not a curated record. Lineage: Eukaryota; Metazoa; Chordata; Actinopteri; Pleuronectiformes; Pleuronectidae. The transcript is spliced from 3 exons.